GAGAGAGGAGGAGAGACAGAUAACGAGAGAAAAGAGAGGCAUCAUCCUCCAAACGAAAUGUUCCCGAGCACUGGAUUCAAAAAGUUGGAGCUCUUUGAAGAUCCAUCCGCCAGCUCGUCAGCAUGGCAACUGUGCUUCGCCAUCCUGCGUUUCGCUGUCUCCUUCGUGACCGUGCCAGGCUCUAAGUAGGCACGUCCCCUAGAGAGUAAGCAGCAGAUGCCCCAAAGUCGAUGCCACUCAACGCGGGUACGAUGGCAUCUGCUCAGUCAUAAUGGAGAUAUGCGACAUGUCUUGUUACUCUCGUUGGCACGCGCCAACCUUCGGCAGUGUGCCAGGAUCUCUGCACUGCAGUAUGCCGCUGGGAAGUUGGCGGUGGCUUGGAAAUGGCAGAGUGCCAGCAUGUUCCUGCGGUAACCAGCCCCUGACGCAUGUCACUUGGCAAAGACAAAGAGCCCUAGGGACGAAACACAAAACAAGAUUGAAAAACACAGUGAUCCGACAGCUUAAUUAACACUCGCAGAGUUUGUUGGGUUAAUUAGUGUGACAGAUUUGGUGAGGAGGAAUAUGGCAGGAACACUUGUGAGAACAAAAGUGAUGAGCAACCCAGACUGAUGGAAUGUCAUCGGAUGCCAUCAGUAACUCUGCCAACCCUGUGCCAAUGGCACUUUACAUUCAACAAGGUUUGUAAAAGGAUAAACGGAAUGAAAAGGAAAACAUCAAGAAACUGUCAUUCAAAAACAAGUUUGUUUCAAAUUCUGGACAAGACAGAAGAUUGAGGAAACAAGUGUGGAAACAGGAAGAAGCUAAAGAAACCACAGGCCUUGACUUAUCAUACAGUGACUCAACAGAUCAAUUCAAACACUAAAGUCAUUAUGGAAUAUGGAUUUUAUGUACUACAAAAACAAAACAGAAUGGUUUGCACAAAUGAACACAAGCAAGAGUGAAUUUUCUCUGGUACGUCGGGAACACCAAAAGGAUACAUGUUGGCGGGUGUUAGUAUGGUGAAAUUUACCAGGAGGAUGCACUACUUUUGCAAUUUUAUGGACCUACUAGAGCUUUUCAAAUCCAAGGACAGGACCUUAAACCAUCAUACCUGUAUACGCAGUAAUGAGUGAUUUUGUGCUUGAAUACCUGUUUUGAGGAUCCUCGAAACUUCCUGUUGAGUCAGGGAGAAGGUGAUGAGAGUGAGUGGAGAAUUCAGUCCCUCACUGGAUGUGUUUGACAUUGUAGAGGAGCAUAAAUAAUGCAGAUUGUCUCUCCUCCUCUUCCUUCUGGUGCUUUCUGAAGGAAGGGAUUUACACACCUUUGUGCUUCGAAUCUUUCAUUGGCAUUGUUCUCGUUAAAGCGACGCAGGAUUGGUUCCGAAACGGGCAUUGUUUUCAGCAUAACCUUCGAUAAACAAGUUCAAAUUAGACAUUAACAACCUCAUGAAAUGAGCCGAUUAAUUUGCGGGGCUUUUUUUCGCUUUUAUGUCUUUCUUUGUACCGAUUGUGGACAAUUGUGUACGGAUAUGCUAAUCACGCUGUAUUAAUGAGCUAUUUCUGCUGCAGUAGUCCUGCAAUGGAGUGACAGAGACGAAGAUGGGAUUUACUAGAUGUAAAGAGAGAAAAAGAGCAAGUGAGAGACAGAGAGAGAAUUCAUUAAUAUCCUGAGCUUAAUCAUGGCACAUGAGAUUGGCUGUAUGCAUACCUCAUUUGCAUCUCAUUAAAUUGCUCAUGCACCUGCAGAGAGAGGGGAGAGGGGCAGAGGACGGCACAACGAGAAAUGAGGGUCUUGUUUCAAUAUGCAAAAUGUUUCUUAAGCAGUUGCUUCAUUUUAUUUUGAAAUAUAUAUAUUUAUAAUUACAGUAUAAUGUGCAUUUAAAAGAAUGUUUUUUGGGUUUUGUUUUUUUUUGAUGAUGCAUUCCAUUUUUCUAUUUACUUGCCAUAUUUUUUAUGAAUAUUAAAAAAUGCAUUUAUUUUCUUUCAUGAAUGUUCUACAUACAUACAUUAACACAUACACAUUGUUUUAAUCACAUAAUGUACUUAUAUUCCAUGCCAAUGCUCUGUGACAUUUAACACUUAAAAGCACUCUUUGGGAAAAUAAAAAUGAGAUUUUAAGAUAUCGGUGCCUAAAAUAAACCAUAUGUUUCAGAGGAUGUAAAGUCCAGCACAGGCCAGCAGUUUAACGUAUGCAUGAUUAGUAUGCAGCUCUUUGCGUUCUUUAAUAGAACUCAGGGUGAAGACUAUUGUCUCUGAUUCCAGGAUGUGCCAUCUGCCUGGCUUCAGAGACUGGCCUUCCUCUUUGUGUUUUGCACAAUGGGCUAUUCUGCACUGGACAUCCACACAUAACUGAAAUAAAUCAUGCCCCAGCCAACAGGCCACCAGAGGACCACUGCAAUAUUUUCCAUGAAAGAAAAGAGAAGACUGCACGCGGCAUUGGGGAGAGAUUAGAAAAAUGUGAAAUUUUCCAUUACAGAAACAUAAUGACAAACACAGUUGGAGGACAGAAAUGGGAAGGAGAGGAGAAGAACAAGACGGGAUAGAAAAGGAAAACUGAAAGGAAAUGAAUAAAUGAACUUUAAAUAUUACUCCCACUCACCUCCUACGUUUAUCAUAACGUCAUUUUCCUUAAAUACUUUGUAAAUAAAGUGCAAAACAGCAUCCGACCUCCAGACCCAAGAACGGCCAUUCUCCAGUGUGACUUUAAUGUAAUUACUCUGUGACGGAUAUAUUUAAAUCUGUAUGUAAACACCGGAGCAGCAAGGUCUACGUAUGAUAGAAAUGUCUGCAUCGAUUACCUGCUAUGAAUGUGAAAUGUUUAAUCUCGUUAAAAAUCUCAUGCCUAAAUUAGGCUCCCUCAGCAGCUUUUUAAAUUGGGCUAUCCAUCAUAUAUAAUGAAGAAGUGACAGAGUGUGUAUGCAGGGGGUUCUAAUAUAAAACUGUUUUAAAAUAUUCUCAUAUUAGCCUUGCUGUGGCGAAUGGCACAGGCUAGCCGGUGAUGUGGUAAACAAUAAAACAGAAGCCAGAAUAAGCCCUGAUCCAAAGCUUUUGUAUAGACCGAGUACCAAAGCAUUGCUGAGGGACAAACGGAGCUUCAAGGAUUUAUUCUCUUUUAAGAAACCAAAAGAAAGGGGGUAAAAAUAGAAAGAGGGAAAGACAUGUGGUGUUGGCCACCACCUGGUGAGAUGUCAUGUACGAUUAAGUGUGUGUUUGUCUGGCACGCUUCAUGCCGUUAUCAAGUGUGGACAGCUCAGCGCAACCACUACACUGCAUACUUUUCUUAUGCUAAUGACUUUGAUAGACCCCUCCUCACUGUUGGUGUACUUCUUGCUAUCCUGCCCACCUUUUCCUGUAGCAUGCCAACUUGUACCACUUUCUAAACCCUUCAAUAACUCACCCUAAACUAACAAUCGCACCACCAGUCUUAAAUCACUAACUCUACAUGGGGUGUAGGGUCUCAAAACCAUAUAACCAACCUUCAUACGCCAGACUCCCCAAGGUCAAAGGGUCAAAGAUUUAGCAUAAUUUAUCAUAUCAGUGCGAGAUAUUCACGGAAGCCACGCGUAGCCCGUUCAUGCUCCUGCUGCCUCUGAUUAGCAUCUCAUUUCACAGGCUUGAUUCUUAAAAAGCCCCCCCUACGCCCCCUUUCCACUAACAUGAUGGCUCAGUUCCUGCCCUGUAGAGACAGAUGCUCACCUAAAAUAUUAUACAGCAACCGUGUCAAACUGACAACCUGGGGGGGGGGGGGGGGUUUCUUAGUCAGCAAAUGUUUAGAUGUGGCAUUCUGCGUUUCGCGAUAUUACAAACAACAUUUCAGACAGGCUCGUAAACAUGAUAUUUUAUGCUGCAUUUUGGUUACAGUUAUGUUGCAGUACAAUGUUGUAGACUCCAUACAAAGAAUUUUUUAAAAAUGAUGUAAUUAAAAUACUAUUUAUAUUUUAAGUAUUGAUUAUUUUCAAAAACAACAACAACAAAACAAUAAUGAAUAAUGAACUAUAACUAAAGAAUGUGUUACAUUUACAUCUUAGUAUCAUGCAACCAG
Cyprinus carpio (common carp) is the source of this 4023-nucleotide long non-coding RNA. RefSeq lists it as uncharacterized. The transcript has 3 exons. NCBI's taxonomy places the organism in Eukaryota, Metazoa, Chordata, Actinopteri, Cypriniformes, Cyprinidae. The record is from RefSeq and is a predicted model, not a curated record.